GCCUCUUUAGCUCAGUUGGUUACGGACGAAAACGAAGUUUUUGUCCGCGCAGGAGACACGACACUCUUAAUGUUGGGGUCCAGGGUUCGAGCCCCUGAGGGGGUA
Molecule: transfer RNA, 105 nt
Filed under: Alistipes putredinis
Lineage: Bacteria; Pseudomonadati; Bacteroidota; Bacteroidia; Bacteroidales; Rikenellaceae
Also listed under: 5 other names
Description: tRNA-Lys
Rfam family: tRNA
About the family: Transfer RNA (tRNA) molecules are approximately 80 nucleotides in length. Their secondary structure includes four short double-helical elements and three loops (D, anti-codon, and T loops).
Source: RNAcentral